This is a regulatory RNA element of Roseburia sp. CAG:309, 154 nucleotides long. It matches the Rfam family "Ribosomal protein L10 leader". From Rfam's summary of the family: This family is a putative r-protein leader autoregulatory structure found in B. subtilis and other low-GC Gram-positive bacteria. It is located in the 5' untranslated regions of mRNAs encoding ribosomal proteins L10 and L12 (rplJ-rplL). A Rho-independent transcription terminator structure that is probably involved in regulation is included at the 3' end. The record is from Rfam. NCBI's taxonomy places the organism in Bacteria, Bacillati, Bacillota, Clostridia, Lachnospirales, Lachnospiraceae.
UAUAAAUUUUGAUGACUGCCGUAGACAGUAGGUAUAGAUGGUCCUUCGGGAUUUCAGAUGUGUAAGUGCAAGAGCCGCCUACCGAGGAGUAAAGAAUGUGGAUUUACGUCCCCUCUUUUUGCUAUGGCGAGAAGAGGGGGUUUUCUAUAUUACG